CCUACGGGUGGCAGCAGUGGGGAAUAUUGGGCAAUGGAGGCAACUCUGACCCAGCAACGCCGCGUGAAUGAUGAAGGUCUUCUGAUUGUAAAGUUCUGUAGUCGGGGAUGAACACCAUGACGGUACCCCACUAGCAAGCCACGGCUAACUACGUGCCAGCAGCCGCGGUAAUACGUAGGUAGCAAGCGUUAUCCGGAAUGACUGGGCGUAAAGGGUGCGUAGGUGGUUUAGUAAGUUGGCGGUGUAAUGCCGGGGCUUAACCUCGGCGCUACCGCCAAAACUAUUAGACUAGAGUGCAGGAGGGGUGAGUGGAAUUCCUAGUGUAGCGGUGGAAUGCGUAGAUAUUAGGAGGAACAUCAGAGGCGAAGGCGACUGACUGGACUGCAACUGACGCUGAGGCACGAAAGUGUGGGGAGCAAACAGGAUUAGAUACCCUGGUAGUC
Molecule: ribosomal RNA, 443 nt
Filed under: uncultured bacterium
Lineage: Bacteria
Description: partial 16S ribosomal RNA
Rfam family: Bacterial small subunit ribosomal RNA
Source: RNAcentral